Molecule: ribosomal RNA, 406 nt
Filed under: uncultured bacterium
Lineage: Bacteria
Description: partial 16S ribosomal RNA
Rfam family: Bacterial small subunit ribosomal RNA
Source: RNAcentral
AUUGAACGCUGGCGGCAGGCCUAACACAUGCAAGUCGAACGAGUGGCGGACGGGUGAGUAAUGUCUGGGAAACUGCCUGAUGGAGGGGGCUAACUACUGGAAACGGUCGCUAAUACCGCAUACCAUCGGAUGUUCCCAGAUGGGAUUAGCUAGUAGGUGGGGUAAAGGCUCACCUAGGCGACGAUCCCUAGCUGGUCUGAGAGGAUGACCAGCCAAACGGGAACUGAGAAACGGUCCAGACUCCUACGGGAGGCAGCAGUGGGGAAUAUUGCACAAUGGGCGAAAGCCUGAUGAAGCCAUGCCGCGUGUAUGAAGAAGGCCGUCGGGUGGUAAAGUACUUUCAGCGGGGAGGCGUUACCCGAAGAAGAAGCACCGGCUAACUCCGUGCCAGCAGCCGCGGUAAUAC